RNAcentral lists this long non-coding RNA (6149 nucleotides) under Nicotiana benthamiana. Its description in RNAcentral is "long non-coding RNA (NBEN_LNC019116)". Lineage: Eukaryota; Viridiplantae; Streptophyta; Magnoliopsida; Solanales; Solanaceae. The record is from RNAcentral.
GCAACUUAUUUGUUUGAACAUAAAGAUGCAUGAUUUGAUGAAAAAUGAUUUUAUGUGAGAGCCAAUAUUAGAAUAUGUCGUUGAGUCAAGAUUACAAAAUAGGACGACUCAACAGUUAACUUCAUUUGCAAUUCUCGACCUUGUACUGUUUCUCUUGUACUUGGACUGUUAUUGUUCCAUCCUCGUUGGUUUGUCAUUUAUCAAAACCUACAUGAAUCAACACACGUUUAGAUUGAGAACGUGAUUCAACACAACUAAGUUAAAUGAAAGAAUUCUUCAUGCGCUCAUAACUUGGAGUUACACAUCCAACCACAAUUGAAAAUCGAACACUUAGUAGUUUACCUAUCAUCUAGAAAAUCUUCCUCGUCUCUUCAACGUCAUAUAAAAACAUCAUGCAGUACUAAAAUAUUCAUCAUAUAGCUAUCCAGCCAUCACACCCACCAUUAGGGACAAUACUGAACAUAUAAGUUCAAAACACUAGCUCGCACCAUCAGCACCUUGGUGCUCAAGCCAUAAGUGAAGAUCCGGUCUCAAGUCCUCGAGACUGGCCCAAAAUUAACUCAUAGAAAUCACAUCUAGUAAUAUGGCAAUAUUCUUGAGAUUGAUGACCUGCGUGGCCUGGUUGAAUUAGAGGAAUUUAGUUAUGAUAGCUUGAUUAGGAGAAAAUGGAUUUCCAAGUGUUCUUGAUGGUUUCUACUAUGGUUUAAACCAGACACUUUCUAUAGGUAUGGGGAACGUGUUGUGUAUUGUGAGUUCCUGUACAUUUCUUCAUUAUUGAUGGAGUACAAAGGUUUUGGAGCAAGGUUCUGUUUAAUGUGUGGUUUCCUACUGGUACUUGGUUGGUUUGAGUGGUUACGCUGAUCGAGAAUGGUGUUACGAGUAUACGAAUUGUGUAGUAUGUUAUGCGAUUAUAUCUAGGGUUAUUGUUAUAGCUUGACAAAGUUUGUUCGUACUUAUUCAGUGGGUGUAUGUGAGAUUCGGGUCUUGAAAAGAAUUUUUGAUGUUAGAAAUUGGGCUACAAGGAUUUCGAGUAAGGUUAAAAUAAUGUUUAUUAGUCACUACCAUGAGUUUAAUGUGUUUCAGAAUAAUUGGUUCCAACUUUUUUUUAUGAAUUAUAUGCCCUACUGGUAUGAGGGUUUGUUAUGUUCAAUGAAAAAAAAAAUAUUUACGAAAUUUAUUGAGAAAAAGAAAGAAAGGAAAUUGAAAAUUGUAGUUGGCACAAUGUGAAAUAUUUAAAUCGGGCUGCAAGGCGCGAUGGAGGUUAUGUAAGGACGAGGUCCUUGUGGUAAAUAUUUAUGAGUUUAAAGUUUCCCUUUAUAAAGUUUCAUUCGUACGAUAAUAUUAAAAGGGAGUCAUGCCAAUAAGGUUGAUUUGAUAACUCUUGAAUACUUUAUGUUCAUAUUCAGCCAUUUUUGUAUUGUAAACAUUGAGUUUUAGCUUAUUAGAUGAGUUUCCAAGUGGCGUUAAAUGUGACUCAUUAAUCCGAGUAAGUAAUAAUGAGGUCUUCAUGCCUCACAUUCNNNNNNNNNNNNNNNNNNNNNNNNNNNNNNNNNNNNNNNNNNNNNNNNNNNNNNNNNNNAUUGUCAGUAUUGUGAAAAUUUGAAAUGAGGUGGUGGUUAAUAUGAGAUUUAUUGAUAAUGAUGGAAUUAUUUAUGAACAACUAUUAAGACUAGAAAUGUGGUUACGAUCAUACAAAUGAUGUGUUUCAUGUCAAGAUAUCAUUGUGAUAAGUCGAGCUUAGAAUGCGGAGAUUAGUGUUAUCGAUGUACUUGUGGUACUUGUUGGGUUGUGGACAUGCUGUUUGGAGUUGUUUUGUUGUUACUGUGACAGGUGGAUAGGCCCAAUUACAAAUGAGACUCUGCCAAAAUAUUUGAAAAAUCUAGGUGUUAGUCAAAUUUUGGGGACUUAAGAAAGUUGAAAUGUUGGAAGAAUAUCUAAGAUCUAUAUGAAGUCGUUCGAUUUAUUUGGUUGUGCAUUGUGAGGCCUCCUCCCGUCAAUGGUGGUAGUUCAUACGUGUUAUGAGAAGAAAUUACUUAUUAUGGGUCCAAGAAAGACUAUCACCCUUGUUAGGUGAGAUCAGAAUCGACCUGAAGUGGGUGAAUGGAUUUAAAUAGUAUUAUGGUCUUCAUAUGAGUCAGAUGUGUUCAUUUCAGUAUAGCGCUCCUCAAGGGGGGGUGUUGGAAUAUCAUAUGUUGUUCCGUGUUCAUCAAUUCAUGUAAUAUUGUGAUUGUGCCAUGUGUGCUAUGAAACAGCUUGAUAAAUUCCUAUUCUCUUUGGAAAAGUCCAUAUUAGCUGUGUGAGUUGAGCAAUCCAUUCCUGAAUCAUUUCCUUAUGUAUCUUGUUUACGUUAUGGCCUAUUAGCGCAUUUUUGCAUCAUGUGAGACCGUUGGUCAUUGUCUGUGGUGAUUGGUUGUCUGAGCAGCUGGUACUAGGUGAGGUGAGACUAUUGGUAUCGGGAACCAUUGUAGUGGAAUUAUGUUAGGUAUAUUAAAAGACAGUUACCAAUAUUUGGGUAAUAAUAAGGUGAUGAUUUAAGUCAAAAAAGAGAGAAUUAAUGUUGGGUUAACUCUGCAAUUGGUUAGAAAUUUCUGUACAUCUUCUCCGUUGUGGUUAUAUCGUCACCAUUAUAACAGAAUGUCUAGGUAUAUCAUCAUAUGCAUUUGGAGCAUUAGAGUCGUGGAAUUUUGGCUAUUAAGUUUCAUGGAGUGUCAUUGUGGUUAGAUGGUGAAUUAUGCGAUGCAUGGUGCUAAUUCAAUAAAGGUACGCAGUCGUGUUCUGGUACCUCGUGUGGUAGUUGAUACAGUGUUUAUAUACAGGGAACAUGUCCUGCCGAGAAUUUCACGUGUUGGAUUUGGUUUUAAGCUUAUUGUAUGGAUAAAAGAGGAUAUCUGCAUAUUUGCUCAAACUAAUGUGUCGAUAUGAGUUGUGGUAGCAUGGGCAGGUGAACGAGGUGUUAAAGAGUGAUUUCAGAAAACUUAAGAGUUGUUCUUGGAACGUUCGAGGACGAACACCUCUUUAAGUGGGGGAGAAUGUAACAACCCGACCGGUCGUUUUGAGCUAGAGUUGUUCAGUAGUUGGAAGUCAUGAACUUUAUUUCAGGUAUAUUGACUUGUGCAUAUGGUCAGAAUUGAAUUUCGGGAAAUUUGGAGUCAAAUUGGAAAGAAAAUUUUAUUGUGGUAACCUUAAGUUGAAGAAAAUGGCUAAGAUUAGAAUUUUGAGUAAACGAAUUCGGAAUUGGGAUCUAAAAGUUCCAGCAUGUUCGUAUGAUGAUUUCGGACUUGGGUGUACGUACGGAUUUAUUUUUGGAUAACUCAUGAGCAUUUCGGCGUAUAUUGUGGAAGUUAGUAUUUUAGAAAAAUUUCAUAAAUUUGGGUUGGAAGGCAUUUCUGUGAUAUAUAUGUCUUUUUGGGAUUCCGAGUCUGGGAAUAGCUCCGUAUAGUGAUUCUGGAGUGGGGAGCGCGAUCGGAAGUGAAUUCGGAUGUCCGGAGGUUAUUUUGAAGUCAUUUGGCUAAAUAUACAAAUUUGAAGGUUUUUGAGAAAAUUUGACCGGGCGUGGAAUUUUUGAUAUCUGGGUCGGAAUGCGAUUCCGAAAGUUUGGGAAAGUCUGUAAUAUCGAAUGUGAUUUGUGUGCAAAAUUUGAAGUCAUACCAGAAUGAUUUUGGUAAGGUUUGAAACACUUAGCCUCUUUUAAGGAAGCUUAAAUUGGAAAAGUCAACUAGAUAUUGACUUAUGUGUUAGAAGGCUUGAAAUGCAAGUUUUAUGGUUCGGAUAGCUUCAUUAAGUGAUUUGUGACUUAGGAGUGUGUCCGGAAUAUUUUUGUGAUGACCGGUGUAGAAUUAAGCUUGAAUUGGCAAAGUUAGCAUUUUGGCGACUUCCGGUUGAUAGGUGAUAUUUUUAUCUGAGGGUCGGAAUGGAAUUCCGAGAAUUGUUGUAGCUUUGUUAUGUCAUUUUAGACUUGUUUGCAAAAUUUAAGGUCAUUCGGACUAGUUUUGAUGUGUUUCAGCAUCGCAUGUGGAAUUUGAAAGUUCUUGAGAUUCAUAAUCUUGAAUCUGAUGAUGAUUUGAUAUCUUGAUGUUAUUUUGAUUGUUCCGAAGGUUGGAACAAGUUUGAAUAAUAUUGCGGGAUAUGUUGUAAUAAUUGAUGUCACACCCCUGUUUUUAAUAAACUUCACUAAACCAUCUUAAAUUAAUAAAAAGAUUUUAGUAAAGCUUGAAAAGGGUUUUCAAUUUCGAAAGUGACAAAAGUUGUUCAAAAGGAAAUAAACUCAGAGUCGCCACCUGAGAUUGAUUUCGGUGUGUCAGAUCACCCUUUUUUUUAAAAAUAUUUAUUUUUCCUUUUCAAACAUUUCAGACUCUAAAACCAAGUCUGCAGCAGAGAUUGAGGUAAGGGGAUUCAUUUGACUCGGGGAGAAGGUGUUAGGCACUCCCCAAGUCCCGUAGCUAGUACGAUUGCGUACUCGAUCUAGUUGGCUUUUAAAAUAUUCAAUUGAGGAAAAUACACAGAAAAUAAAGACAGACAUGCAAGAGGUUCGAGGUCGCUCCCACCUAGUAAAAGAAAAAUACUAAAUUAAAAUAUUAUGAGCUUCACGUUAGGCCUCCAAAUACAAGUACUUCGGGGCAUUCCCCGGAAUCAAAUAUAUGUAAAUCCUUCGGGGCAUUUUCCAGAUAAAUUUAACUAAGGAAGCGACCCCUUACCUCGAAAUCAAAGAAAAUGAAAAACCCUAAGAUUGCUUACCUAAAAUGAUCGGCCUAAAGCAUGCUCCUAACGGACAAUGUCAUCAACAAAGAAAAUAAAAGAACUAAAUAAGAGAACUAAGUAAAAGAAACAAUUCAAAUCAUGCUCAUGUUUUGUUCUUAACUUUUCAUUUUAUUAGGCCGAGCCCGACACCUAGAGUAUGGAACUAAUUAGUUGCUAAUGGGCUUCAACCUUUUUACCACUCCCACGGCCCAUUUUACUCAAACCAAUACUAACGUGAGUUUAGCAAGAGCGACACAGAAUGUAUGGGCAAAUAGCAAGCAAGUAGUUAACAUCACAAAACCAAAGAGAAAUGAAAGACUAAUAAAGGAAAAUAAUCUGAAGCACCGGAAAGAUUUUCCCCACCCCAAGUUUUUAACAUAUGCUCAACUAAACCGAGCUUCCCCGUCUGCUUCAUUCGGAAAGAUUAUCUAUUUGGGUUGCACACGCAGAUUACAAUUAAUCAUUUCCCUUGAGCUUCAUAUCCUAAAAGGUAAUUAGAAGUUCUAAUGCAAGAAUGCACUUAAACACCCCAAGCAAAUAGCCAAAUAAUAGCAUACCAAAAAUGAAAAUUAUAGAACUCCGUCAUUCUAUAAUCUGCAGAAGACACCCAGUAUAAAAUCUUGGAAAGAAACUAAUUGAGUAUUUUCCAAGUCAAAAAAAAAACUUAUUUAUCUCAUUUGAAAUCUCAUAAAGCCCAAAGAUGAAGUCAACACAAACCUGUAUUAAAAACAGACAUAUAUGCAACAUGAAACACUUAAGAGAGUAAUGAAAUUCAGAACAUGAAGCAAUUAGCGCAUCCAGUAGACUCUCUCAAUCUCAUAUCAUUGAGGAUAUUUCCAUUUUUAACUAGAAGCAAAUUAACUAUGGAAUGUAGAAUUAAGCAGCAUCUGGUAAAUCUCAGUUUCAAGUCACUUUACUUAAUCAACAUGAAGAGACACUAUGAGAAACCACCACUCCGUCAUAACAACAGACGCAAUGAAGGUUAAUUUCAGAUCGACGAAACGAAAUAUGCUUCACACAGUUAAUCCAUUCGUGAACUUGAACUUAAACAUGUCAUGGAGAUCUCAACUAAGCAAAUGAUUUAAAACAAGUCAAAUCACACUCUUAAACACAAGAAGGAAAGGGAAUGAGAUGACCUGAAACUAGAAUUUCCAAGAAGCCUGUCCGGAUGCGAUACAGGCAAAAAUCGAACGAUGAACUUAGUAGGGGCUGAAUGAAACAGUAACGAUCGAAUCCGGAACCACAAGCUCGAACCACGAGCUCGAAUCAGAACAUCAAUCAAGCACCAGCAGAAAAUCAGUCGCACUCCAUGCUUAAACCAGAAUAGGAAUCUCAGAGACGGAAGUGAACUGAUUUUUUUGUGUUUUUCUUUUAAUGAUAUUUCUGACUUUUUUUGUAAAAUCCGAAUGAGA